AAGUUAGUGGCGGACGGGUGAGUAACACGUGGGUAACCUGCCUCACAGCUGGGGAUAACAUCGAGAAAUCGAUGCUAAUACCGAAUGUGCUGAACAUCAUAAGAUGUUCAAGUGAAAGACGGUUUCGGCUGUCACUGUGAGAUGGACCCGCGCUGGAUUAGCUAGUUGGUAAGGUAAUGGCUUACCAAGGCGACGAUCCAUAGCCGACCUGAGAGGGUGAUCGGCCACAUUGGGACUGAGACACGGCCCAAACUCCUACGGGAGGCAGCAGUAGGGAAUCUUCGGCAAUGGACGAAAGUCUGACCGAGCAACGCCGCGUGAGCGAAGAAGGCGCUUCGGGUCGUAAAGCUCUGUUGUUAGAGAAGAACAAGGGUGAGAGUAACUGUUCACCCCUUGACGGUAUCUUACCAGAAAGCCACGGCUUACUACGUGCCAGCAGCCGCGGUGAUACCUAUGUGGCAAGCGUUGUGCCGGAUAAUUGGGCGUAAAGCGCGCGCACGCGGNCUCUUUAAGUCUGAUGUUGAAAGACCCCCGGCUCAACCGGGGAGGGUCAUUGGAAACUGGGAGACUUGAGGACAGAAGAGGAGAGUGGAAUUCCAAGUGUAGCGGUGAAAUGCGUAGAUAUUUGGAGGAACACCAGUGGCGAAGGCGGCUCUCUGGUCUGUUACUGACGCUGAGGCGCGAAAGCGUGGGGAGCAAACAGGAUUAGAUACCCUGGUAGUCCACGCCGUAAACGAUGAGUGCUAAGUGUUAGGGGGUUUCCGCCCCCUAGUGCUGCAGUAAACGCAUUAAGCACUCCGCCUGGGGAGUACGACCGCAAGGGUUGAAACUCAAAGGAAUUGACGGGGGCCCCGCACAAGCGGUGGAGCAUGUGGUUUAAUUCGAAGCAACGCGAAGAACACUACCCAGGUCUUGACAUCCCUUGACCACUCUGGAGACAGAACUUUCCCCUUCUGGGGACAAAGUGACAAGUGGUGCGAUGGGUGUCGUCAGCUCGUGUCGUGAGAUAGUUGGGGGUAAGUCCCCGCAACGAGCGCAACCCCUGAUUUUAUGUUGCCAGCAUUCAGUUGGGCACUCUAAAAUGACUGCCCGUGUAAGCCCGAGGAAGGUGGGGAUGACGUCAAAUCAUCAUGCCCCUUAUGACCUGGGCUACACACGUGCUACAAUGGAUAAUACAAAAAGUCGCGAAGACGCGAGGUGGAGGCCAAUCCCAUCAAAAUAAUUCUCAGUUCGGAUUGCAGGCUGCAACUCGCCUGCAUGAAGCCGGAAUCGCUAGUAAUCGUAGAUCAACAUGCUACCGUGAAUACGUUCCCGGGCCCUGUACACACCCGCCCGUGCACACCACGAGAG
Molecule: ribosomal RNA, 1350 nt
Filed under: Brochothrix sp. TM17_3
Lineage: Bacteria; Bacillati; Bacillota; Bacilli; Caryophanales; Listeriaceae
Description: bacterial SSU rRNA
Rfam family: Bacterial small subunit ribosomal RNA
Source: RNAcentral